AAAGGACAUAGCACAGUGACAGAGCACAAGUGUUAUGUGUAGGAGCCCCAGAUUCAACUCCUGGUGUCUCCAAAGACAGCUGGGGAAAAACUCCUGUCCGAAACCCUUGGGAGCUGCUGCCAGUCAGUGUAGACCAGGUAUGGGGACCUGUGGCUGAGGAUUAUGGGAGCUGCAGUCCAACAUCUGGUGGGCCACAGGCUCCCUAUCCCUGGUGUAGACAAUAAAGGGAGAGAUGGACCAGUGGUCUCACUUGGUGUAGUACAGGAAGCUGCCCACUGAUGUUAGCAUUGCCUACACGGACUGGCAGUGGCUCCCUGGGGUUUCAAGCCGUCUUUCCAGCCUACCCAGAGAUGCCAGAGAUUGAACUUGUGAAAUUCUGCAUGCGAAGCAGGUGCUUUACCCCUGAGCUGCUGCCUUCUCUCUGUGUUUGGGUAGGAGAGCCGGGUCUGCGCAAAGAAGACCCAACCAAGACUCUGUGGUAGGAAAGAGGCCAACAAAAAAUCACAAAGACAAAGGUCAUUGUGACAAUCAAUAAGCGGUUAACACAGAAAGGGAAACAAAUCCUUUGGCAGGAUCAAUGCAUUCAGCGUGCAUCUCAUCAUAGCUCUCAAAUUCUUUUAACCUUUUCACUCUACAGCCUGGGGGUUGUCUGCGAUGGCAGAAAGUUGAUUCAGGGGUUAGAUCAGGGGUAGUCAACCUUUUUAUACCUACCGCCCACUAAUGCAUCUUUCUUCAUGGUAAAAUUUCCUUACCGCCCCCCAGUGCUCGAUGGAAGGAGGAUUCAGCUUGUGCCAUAGAACCCCCCUACCGCCCACUAGUGGGCGGCAGGGACGAGGUUGACAAUCCCUGGGUUAGAUAAAGAGAGAAGGAUGGAGGCUGUGGGGCAGGGGUGGGGUGGGGGAGGCACCAGUGGGUCCAGAGAAAAGCACCAAUCAUUUUGGAGGUCUUUAAGCAGAGGCUUGACAACCAUAUGUCAGGAGUGCUCUGAUGGUGUUUCCUGCUUGGCAGGGGGUUGGACUCGAUGGCCCUUGUGGUCUCUUCCAACUCUAUGAUUCUAUGAUUCUAUGAAAAGGAGCAGAGACUCUCCAGUAGAAAUUGCUUCUCUCCCAGCCAAAGGCCCCCUUAGCAAAGGCAUGGGAAUCUCUGGUGUAGAAAUGGCUUUUAAGGAAAGUAUACAGAUGGAUUUUUCCAAGUUAACGGAUGCCGGUGUUACGAGCCAAGCAGACAAGAUAGAACAACAAAGGAAAUGAAAGGUUUAAUUUGAGGACCAGGAUACUAUCUUUAAGGAGCAAAUGAACACUGGGGGCCCUUGAGCUGUUGAGGUGGAUUUUUUUAUUUUUAUUUUUUGGUACAUGAGGAACAUCUGCUGUGCGCCGUGAGACGAGCAUGCUAACUCUUUGCUGAAGGGAAUGUCAGGAUUUGUUGUGAUGUGUUGCAUUUACAGCUCUCUGUGUGUUUAUUUAGUGCAGGAGUGGCAAACCUUUGGCCACCCUCCAGAUGCAGCUGAACUACAACUCCCACAAACCUUUGCAAGCAUGGCCAGUGGCCAGGGAUGAUGGGAAAUGGGAGUCCAGGAAUUUCCAGAGGGCUAAAGGUUCUCCACACCUGAUUUACAAGUGUAAGAAAGCAAAUCAACAGGCUUCCUCUGUCUCUUGGUCUUUCUGGUUUAAGUUCUCUUGUCUGUUUGUUUAAUGCAUUUAUAUCCUGUCUUUCUCCCAAGCUGGGAUUCAAGGAGGCUAGUAAUAUUUAAAGACAACCUACGACUCACUAAAGCUGUGCUUCCAAUCUGGCACAUAUAUCAAAAUUAAAUUGGGGGAAGUGGCUGCAUAACUCUGCAGAAUAGUUAUUUGCAGCAAACAGAAAAAAAGCAACCUCUUGCCACAGCUCAUUUUCUGCCUUUCAUAAUUAAUACAUGACGGCACAACUCUGUAUCUUACUAUACCCAGUGGAAAUGCACAGUGACACAAUGCAUUUCUUUGCACACUCAUUGAUUCCUGUUUUCAAGGUCAAGCAUAUGGACUCAAGGGGAAAGCAGCAGCACUUCCUUGCAGGCAUAAUCAGGUGGGCUCCCAUCUCGAUCCUGAGUAGCACAGGAGACUUGUAAAAGUCCCAGUUUGAAGUCAUGGCCCAUUAAGGAGAGAGUGAAUGUUUUUAGUGAACAUAAAUGCCAAGUACCUUUGAGGAGUCAUUAGCAUUUGCUGCUCUUAGCAUCCAGUGAAUUAAGGUAUUGUGUUACAACCUGAACCUCAGCCCUGCUGCUGUCCUGUUAAAAAGCACGGAAUGGGAAAGGUGCUUUCUGCUAAAGGACUAGAUGUGCUACCGGGUUCAUCUCAAAGGUUAUGCCUGUGCUCCAAAGCCAUUUUAUGCCGCCAGGAAGAUUUUGGGCCUUGGGAGUUUAUUCCAUGCUCUUUUCACACUGCAUAGCAACCCUCUCUGGAAGUGGUGGACAUUUUCAAAAACAGUUUUUGACACAGAGCGAGCAAGGUGAAUUUUCCAGAAAACAUUUGAGUUUUAAAAAACAAUUAGACAAUGUUUUCUAAUGUGCCUUAUCUCUGAAAAUGUCUUCCAAUAAUCAAAGGCAGCAGAAGGGGAGCAUUUGAUUACAAAGAAGGGAAUAGAUAAAGCAUGCUUGAUGUGGUGCAAAUGUUAUAUUCAAGCAAAUUCCAAGCUGGAAAUGAUUUUUACUGAAAAAGACAGGACAAUGCAACAGUAUACACUUACAUUGUUUUCAAUUAUUAAAAGGGAUGGAGGGAACACCACGUUUCAGUUUCAGCACACCCGAAAAGCUGUGAGCUUGUACAUAAAGGUUAACUACAAAUUUGAAACUGACCAGUUUGACAAGUAUUGUAUCCAAUUAGUUACGUUAUGAGGAAGGGCCUUAGUUAGUUAUUAGUUUGCACAUCACUGAUAAAGCACCUGUUUUGCACAGAGAAGAUCCCAGGUUCAAUUCCUGACACCUUUAGGUAGAGCUGGAAGACAAUCCAGAGAACCACCACCAGUCAGUGUGGAGACAAUGCAGAUAUAGCUGGAUCACUGGCUGGACCUGGUUUAAGGCAUCUUCCUCGGGAGUAUUUGUAGCUCAGGGGUAGAAAAUGUGCUUUGCAUGCAAAAAACAAGAAGACCCAGGUUCAAUUCCUGGUAUCUCUAGGUAUGGCUGGGAAAAGACCCUGGCCUGGAAAACCGCUGCCACUCAAUGUGGUCAAAACCAAGUUGGAUGGAACAGCGUUUAAUAUUAUUUAUUUAUUUGUUUGUUUGUUUGUUUAACAUACAGCCCUUCACCUGAAGAUCUCAAGGCAGGUCACAACAAAAAAAUACAGAACAGAAACACAAAGCACAUAACAAUAUCAAAAACAAAAUUAAACGAUGAUUCCCUACUCCCACAUUUAAAAGGACAUAGUGUCAAGGAUGCUCCCCACCCAAAGGAACACACACCACUAAUAGCCAACUCUUUCUUGUCAAAAGAGGACAAUUAACAGUAGUUUCUACAGCUCCGAAUACCAAUGCACACCCAUUUAGCAUCUGGACAGCUGUUCCCAGGUCUGCACUCUAUGGAGCAGUUGCAGCAACAGGGGACCACUCCCCCCCCCCCAGUUUAUGUACCUCCCUCUGGAUGGAUGUGCGCAUGCAGCCAGAGACUGCACCUAUGGGAAAGCUGCCUCUGCUCUUACCUCUUCACUCCCCUCCUGGUUCUGGGAGACAGUGGUGCAAGAGAGGGUGGGAAAUCACCCAGCCCUUCACUCGCCUGGCCUGCCUCUUCCCACGACUCUGAAUUCAUUUUAUUAAACAAAAUACUUUUUUUUUUUUUUAAAGGAAAAAUUCUCACCAGAGAAGAAUACAGUGGUAGAAAGCUUUCUGCAGAAAACACCCCAUGCCACACCACCAUCAGCAGCUGCUGUAUUAAACCCCUCCCAGGUGGACUGAGCCUUCUCAUCCUACAACCACCCAACAGUACUAGACGAGAGUUGCUGGAGUAACUUCAGAAUGCAGGACAGCCUUGUGACCCAAACAGAAAUAUUUUACAGACCACGCUGAUGCUAUCUCAAAGCAACUGCAAGAAUUGGUUUCAGGCUGCAAUCAGAUACUUUGAUGGAACGUGCCCUGCAAAAGCCUGUGAAAUCUGCCACCCCACAG
Molecule: non-coding RNA, 4131 nt
Organism: Podarcis lilfordi (Lilford's wall lizard)
Lineage: Eukaryota; Metazoa; Chordata; Lepidosauria; Squamata; Lacertidae
Source: the annotation of a GenBank genome assembly